RNAcentral lists this ribosomal RNA (434 nucleotides) under uncultured bacterium. RNAcentral describes it as "bacterial SSU rRNA". It matches the Rfam family "Bacterial small subunit ribosomal RNA", at positions 29 to 495 of the family's 1533-position model. The record is from RNAcentral.
CACGAACGCUGGCGGCAGGCCUAACACAUGCAAGUCGGACGAGAAAGUUCCUUCGGGAACUGGAGAGUGGCGCACGGGUGAGUAACGCGUGGGGACCUACCUCUUAGUGGGGGAUAACGGUUGGAAACGACCGCUAAUACCGCAUACGCCCUUCGGGGGAAAGAUUUAUCGCUAAGAGAUGGACCCGCGUUGGAUUAGAUAGUUGGUGAGGUAAUGGCUCACCAAGUCAGCGAUCCAUAGCUGGUUUGAGGGAUGAUCAGCCACACUGGGACUGGGACACGGCCCAGACUCCUACGGGAGGCAGCAGUGGGGGGAAUAUUGGACAAUGGGGGGGCAACCCGUGAUCCAGCCAUGCCGCGUGAGUGAAGAAGGCCUUCGGGUGUAAAGCUCUUUCAGAUGCGAAGAUGAUGACGGUAACAUCAGAAGAAGCCCCG